UUUCCGUAGGUGAACCUGCGGAAGGAUCAUUAUUGUAUAACCGAGGUGCGAGGGCUUUCGCUGACCCGACAGGUCGGGCACGCCCAACUGCCCUCACACACAUCCAUCUCACCCCUAUGUGCACCACCGCGUGGGUCCCCCUUUGGCUUGUUCGGAGGGGGGCUUACGUUUUCACACAAACUUUGUAUGCAGUGUAGAAUGUAUUUUUUGUGUUUGCGAUCACGCAAUCAAUACAACUUUCAACAACGGAUCUCUUGGUUCUC
RNAcentral lists this unclassified non-coding RNA (263 nucleotides) under plant metagenome. Its description in RNAcentral is "partial contains small subunit ribosomal RNA, internal transcribed spacer 1, and 5.8S ribosomal RNA". The record is from RNAcentral.